Molecule: non-coding RNA, 143 nt
Organism: Hyaloscypha variabilis F
Lineage: Eukaryota; Fungi; Ascomycota; Leotiomycetes; Helotiales; Hyaloscyphaceae
Source: the annotation of a GenBank genome assembly
GGCUGCAUAGUGUAGUGGUUGUAAGUUUGAUCCCACUCUCAGUGAAUAGUUCCGCACUAACGAAAAGCACAGAGCACAUCAGAUUCUGAUAAUAUAUAUUGUGUAUUAUUCUGGGGACACAGGUUCGAACCCUGUUGCGGCCU